UACGUAGGUGGCAAGCGUUGUCCGGAUUUACUGGGCGUAAAGGGCGUGCAGGCGGUCUGUUAAGUGCAGGGUGAAAGCUCCCGGCUCAACUGGGAGAGGUCCUUGCAUACUGGCGGACUUGAGGGGGGUAGAGGAAAGUGGAAUUCCCGGUGUAGUGGUGAUAUGCGUAGAUAUCGGGAGGAACACCUGUGGCGAAGGCGAGUCUCUGGACAUUUCCUGACGCUGAGGCACGAAAGCCAGGGGAGCAAACGGG
Molecule: ribosomal RNA, 253 nt
Filed under: uncultured bacterium
Lineage: Bacteria
Description: partial 16S ribosomal RNA
Rfam family: Bacterial small subunit ribosomal RNA
Source: RNAcentral